AUACGGAGGGUGCAAACGUUGUUCGGAAUCACUGGGCGUAAAGGGCGCGCAGGCGGUUUGAUUAGUCAGAUGUGAAAGCCCACGGCUUAACCGUGGAAGUGCAUUUGAAACUGUCAGACUUGAGUACUAGAGGGGAAAGUGGAAUUCCCGGUGUAGAGGUGAAAUGCGUAGAUAUCGGGAGGAAUACCGGUGGCGAAGGCGACUUUCUGGCUAGAUACUGACGCUGAGGCGCGAAAGCGUGGGGAGCAAACAGGAUUAGAUACCCCAGUAGUCC
This 274-nucleotide ribosomal RNA is filed under the name uncultured bacterium. RNAcentral describes it as "partial 16S ribosomal RNA". It matches the Rfam family "Bacterial small subunit ribosomal RNA", at positions 523 to 796 of the family's 1533-position model. The record is from RNAcentral.